CCACUCUUGGCUCCAGCAGACCCACUGUCCCAGAAAAGCCUGAUCCUGUAGUUUAUGUAGAAUGCCACAUCUGCGUCCUCAAGACCUGUUUCAUCCAUUUGGGAAAAGAUGUUGGGAAAGGCCACUUUGCUCGCAGGGGUGAGGGGAAGGAUAGAGAAUCUAUUUUUAAUAAAUAACAUUCUAGAAAGAUCAGCUGCCUGUGAGUGUUCUGAAAUCCACGCACCUGGACGUUUCUUCUGGUGGGUCUUGGCUGCCUGGUGGAAUUUGGAAGGUGUUGGUAUCAAGGUCAAAGGUGGGUGCCUGAACCUGCCUUUCAAAGAGGGUUUUCUUAGACCGUGGCCAGAAGCAGAGUCACAUGCUCAAAUGGUCAGAGCUGGAUGGGACUGUGCAAGUUGUCCAGGCAUAUCAUCCUACAGGUAA
Molecule: long non-coding RNA, 420 nt
Filed under: Homo sapiens (human)
Lineage: Eukaryota; Metazoa; Chordata; Mammalia; Primates; Hominidae
Description: non-protein coding lnc-NAT10-5:1
Source: RNAcentral